RNAcentral lists this ribosomal RNA (468 nucleotides) under uncultured bacterium. RNAcentral's name for it is "partial 16S ribosomal RNA". It matches the Rfam family "Bacterial small subunit ribosomal RNA", at positions 28 to 507 of the family's 1533-position model. The record is from RNAcentral.
GACGAACGCUGGCGGCGUGCUUAACACAUGCAAGUCGAACGGGAAGGCCCUGCUUUUGUUGGGUGCUCGAGUGGCGAACGGGUGAGUAACACGUGAGUAACCUGCCCUUGACUUUGGGAUAACUUCAGGAAACUGGGGCUACUACCGGCUAGGAGCUCCUGCUGCAUGGUGGGGGUUGGAACGUUUCGGCGGUUGGGGAUGGACUCGCGGCUUAUCAGCUUGUUGGUGGGGUAGUGGCUUACCAAGGCUUUGACGGGUAGCCGGCCUGAGAGGGUGACCGGCCACAGUGGGACUGAGAUACGGCCCAGACUCCUACGGGAGGCAGCAGUGGGGAAGAUGGCACAAUGGGCGGAAGCCUGAUGCAGCAACGCCGCGUGCGGGAUGACGGCCUUCGGGUUGUAAACCGCUUUCGCCUGUGACGAAGCGUGAGUGACGGUAAUGGGUAAAGAAGCACCGGCUAACUACGUG